RNAcentral lists this ribosomal RNA (484 nucleotides) under uncultured bacterium. Its description in RNAcentral is "partial 16S ribosomal RNA". It matches the Rfam family "Bacterial small subunit ribosomal RNA", at positions 29 to 507 of the family's 1533-position model. The record is from RNAcentral.
AUUGAACGCUGGCGGCAUGCUUUACACAUGCAAGUCGAACGGCAGCGCGGGCUUCGGCCUGGCGGCGAGUGGCGAACGGGUGAGUAAUACAUCGGAACGUGCCCAGUAGUGGGGGAUAGCUCGGCGAAAGCCGGAUUAAUACCGCAUACGACCUGAGGGUGAAAGCGGGGGAUCUUCGGACCUCGCGCUAUUGUAGCGGCCGAUGGCAGAUUAGCUAGUUGGUGGGGUAAGGGCCUACCAAGGCGACGAUCUGUAGCUGGUCUGAGAGGACGACCAGCCACACUGGGACUGAGACACGGCCCAGACUCCUGCGGGAGGCAGCAGUGGGGAAUGUUGGACAAUGGGCGAAAGCUUGAUCCAGCAAGGCCGCGUGUGGGAUGAAGGCCUUCGGGUUGUAAAGCACUUUUGGCGGGAACGAAAAGGACUGUGCCAAUACCACGGUUCGAUGACGGUACCCGCAGAAGAAGCACCGGCUAACUACGUG